UUAUCAAAAACAUCGCCUCUUGCUAACAAAGGAAGUACUAGAGGUCCCGCCUGCCCUGUGACCACAAAGUUUUACGGCCGCGGUAUCCUGACCGUGCGAAGGUAGCGUAAUCAUUUGUCUUUUAAAUAGAGACCUGUAUGAAUGGCAUAACGAGGGCUUAACUGUCUACUCCCCCGAGUCAAUGAAAUUGAUCUGCCCGUGCAGAAGCGGACAUAAACACAUAAGACGAGAAGACCCUAUGGAGCUUUAGACAAAAGAUCAAACAUGUAAAGAAACCAAACUAACCAAAAGGAAUACAAAAGCCCCAAAACCCAGUGUAAACUGAUCCAAAUGUCUUCGGUUGGGGCGACCAUGGGGGAAAGAAAAGCCCCCACGAGGAACAGGGACAACCCCUAAACUAAGAGAGACACCUCUAAGCAACAGAAAAUCUGACCAAAAAUGACCCAGGACACUGAUCCUGAUCAACGAACCAAGUUACCCUAGGGAUAACAGCGCAAUCCUUUCCCAGAGUCCAUAUCGACGAAAGGGUUUACGACCUCGAUGUUGGAUCAGGACAUCCUAAUGGUGCAGCCGCUAUUAAGGGUUCGUUUGUUCAACGAUUAAUAGUCCUACGUGAUCUGAGUUCA
RNAcentral lists this ribosomal RNA (626 nucleotides) under Anguilla australis (Australian shortfin eel). Its description in RNAcentral is "partial 16S ribosomal RNA". It matches the Rfam family "Bacterial large subunit ribosomal RNA", at positions 1804 to 2613 of the family's 2925-position model. The record is from RNAcentral. Lineage: Eukaryota; Metazoa; Chordata; Actinopteri; Anguilliformes; Anguillidae.